RNAcentral lists this ribosomal RNA (1489 nucleotides) under Lactiplantibacillus pentosus. RNAcentral's name for it is "bacterial SSU rRNA". It matches the Rfam family "Bacterial small subunit ribosomal RNA". Lineage: Bacteria; Bacillati; Bacillota; Bacilli; Lactobacillales; Lactobacillaceae. The record is from RNAcentral.
GACGAACGCUGGCGGCGUGCCUAAUACAUGCAAGUCGAACGAACUCUGGUAUUGAUUGGUGCUUGCAUCAUGAUUUACAUUUGAGUGAGUGGCGAACUGGUGAGUAACACGUGGGAAACCUGCCCAGAAGCGGGGGAUAACACCUGGAAACAGAUGCUAAUACCGCAUAACAACUUGGACCGCAUGGUCCGAGUUUGAAAGGUGGCUUCGGCUAACACUUUUGGAUGGUCCCGCGGCGUAUUAGCUAGAUGGUGGGGUAACGGCUCACCAUGGCAAUGAUACGUAGCCGACCUGAGAGGGUAAUCGGCCACAUUGGGACUGAGACACGGCCCAAACUCCUACGGGAGGCAGCAGUAGGGAAUCUUCCACAAUGGACGAAAGUCUGAUGGAGCAACGCCGCGUGAGUGAAGAAGGGUUUCGGCUCGUAAAACUCUGUUGUUAAAGAAGAACAUAUCUGAGAGUAACUGUUCAGGUAUUGACGGUAUUUAACCAGAAAGCCACGGCUAACUACGUGCCAGCAGCCGCGGUAAUACGUAGGUGGCAAGCGUUGUCCGGAUUUAUUGGGCGUAAAGCGAGCGCAGGCGGUUUUUUAAGUCUGAUGUGAAAGCCUUCGGCUCAACCGAAGAAGUGCAUCGGAAACUGGGAAACUUGAGUGCAGAAGAGGACAGUGGAACUCCAUGUGUAGCGGUGAAAUGCGUAGAUAUAUGGAAGAACACCAGUGGCGAAGGCGGCUGUCUGGUCUGUAACUGACGCUGAGGCUCGAAAGUAUGGGUAGCAAACAGGAUUAGAUACCCUGGUAGUCCAUACCGUAAACGAUGAAUGCUAAGUGUUGGAGGGUUUCCGCCCUUCAGUGCUGCAGCUAACGCAUUAAGCAUUCCGCCUGGGGAGUACGGCCGCAAGGCUGAAACUCAAAGGAAUUGACGGGGGCCCGCACAAGCGGUGGAGCAUGUGGUUUAAUUCGAAGCUACGCGAAGAACCUUACCAGGUCUUGACAUACUAUGCAAAUCUAAGAGAUUAGACGUUCCCUUCGGGGACAUGGAUACAGGUGGUGCAUGGUUGUCGUCAGCUCGUGUCGUGAGAUGUUGGGUUAAGUCCCGCAACGAGCGCAACCCUUAUUAUCAGUUGCCAGCAUUAAGUUGGGCACUCUGGUGAGACUGCCGGUGACAAACCGGAGGAAGGUGGGGAUGACGUCAAAUCAUCAUGCCCCUUAUGACCUGGGCUACACACGUGCUACAAUGGAUGGUACAACGAGUUGCGAACUCGCGAGAGUAAGCUAAUCUCUUAAAGCCAUUCUCAGUUCGGAUUGUAGGCUGCAACUCGCCUACAUGAAGUCGGAAUCGCUAGUAAUCGCGGAUCAGCAUGCCGCGGUGAAUACGUUCCCGGGCCUUGUACACACCGCCCGUCACACCAUGAGAGUUUGUAACACCCAAAGUCGGUGGGGUAACCUUUUAGGAACCAGCCGCCUAAGGUGGGACAGAUGAUUAGGGUG